AAGAAAAAUAAGGAUUCAAGCACCAAGAAGCAGCCGGCGAGGGAGGCCGCUGCUGCGAACAGCGAGUCGAGGGCGAUGGUGGCGGAGAGGGAGAAGGAAUACGACCGGCUGUCUAAGUUCCUCGUGGUCUACCUCAAUGCUAUUUGAGACGCUGCGGCCUCCGAGGAUGGCUGGGUCCUGGGACGUGGAGCUCUGGAAUUGCUGCUCGGCGGCACCGCCUACACACAAGCGACAAGUGCGCCACAAAUCUCUCUCUCGAUGCAGCAAGUGCAGCGGAGGGAGCUGCAACUGGUCGCCGUUUCUGCCAUGCUGAUAGAUUGCAAGUACGAGGAGAUUUGGGCCCCAGAGGUGAACGACUUCAUCUUCAUAUCAGAUAGUGCAUACACUAGGGAACAGAUUCUUGCAAUGGAGAAGGGGAUUCUGAAUAAGCUUCAGUGGAAUCUCACCAUUCCUACACCAUAUGUCUUCAUUAUGAUGCUAUCUGCGUCUGCAGAUAACAAAAGUGACAAGGAGGUAAAGAGCCAUGGCUUUUGUUUGUUUCUGUUUACCACCAGAUUAUAUUUCAUUGCUAAGCGACAAGUUUAAGCGUGUACUCAAGAUUUCUUUUGGUGAAUGCUGAUGGAGCACAUGGCCUUCUUCUUCGCUGAAUUGGCACUGAUGCAGUACGGGCUGGUGGCAUAUGCCUCUGCUGUCUAUGCAGCCAGGCCCAAUCCUCGUCAUUUCUAUAUAUGAAGAAAUUGCUGGAUCCAUCCUCUCGGCUAACUAGGACGUUGUUCCACUAGAUCUCCAUUAUUCCUAGUGCAGGUUUAUUUGGAUUACAUAAUCCCCUAUCGGUUUAGUUCCCUUUAUUGUUGAACAAUUGGAGAUAAUAUCUUUCACGAUAAUUCGUACCACUGAGCAAAAUUCAAUGAUGCAAUUAUUUUAUAUGCAACUCAUUUGGUGAACAAGAUGUAUCUUGUGGCAAACAACGAGAUGAAAAGUUACUUGAUCCUUCAGGCAUACCUGUGAUUUUCCAAUCUAUUCUUUGCACGUUCUUGGAAAGAUUGGUUGUCCCUGAUAGCUGUCCGUAGUGAUUCAUGGAUACUGUGUGGCAUUUUACUUUGGGGCUCAUUUUGGAUUUGAUAAAGAAGUCAGAUUGCCAAGAGAAGGUCAGCUCAUCUGCUGAAGUAUCCUACUGUGACGAUUAUAAGCCCUGGGAUCAGUAACACUAGAGUCCAUUCAAGACUCCAUAAUGCUAGGUCCUAACAGAAUGCUGAGGCCCUCAAGUUCAAAAGAUUAUCACAGAGCCGGCAACAACUCAUUGAUUGGUCAGUAAAAAUAAAGGUUUCAAAGGAGCAUGGGGGUUUCAUGAGAUUUAUCCAGGUUUCUUGCCUAGGAGCAUCGGCCUCUUCUUCUAGAAUGCUGAGGGCCAAGGCUGCUGGGGAAGAAUCUGUGUUGAAGGAAUUUCCUGAGGCUACAAUUAUGAGGCCUGCAACUAUGAUUGGCACAGAAGAUCGGAUUUUGAACAGAUGGGUACAGUUUGCUAAAAAUUGAUUCCCGGUCUACAAAGAUUCAGCCUGUUUAUGUUGUGGAUGUUGCUGCUGCUAUUGUCAACUCCCUCAAGGAUGAUGGCACCAGCAUGGGAAAGAGCUACGGACUUGGUGGACCAGAGAUUUAUACUGUUCAUGAUCUGGCUGAGCUGAUGUAUGAGACAAUAUGUGAAUGGCCACGGUACAUCGAUGUUCCUCUUCCUAUUGCAAGGGUAUGAACUUAAAUAAUAUCUUGUGUUGGUCAAGGCGAAUGGCCACGGUACAUCGAUGUUCCUCUUCCUGUUGCAAGGGCUAUCGCAUCUCCUGAAAGCUGAUAGAUUGGGAUUUUUUUUUUCAAUACUCUAAGCCUCUAAUGAAAGGUGCAUAUGGACUUUUAUUUUAGAUGUUCUAACUUUGUUUUGUCUCUACCUCUCAAAUUGUUACUAUAUAUGUACUCUUCAACCUGCCGCAUAGGUUGGCACAUGUUUAUAAGGUCAAAUGGAAUAUAUUUCUUGUGUUUUUACUAUCAUUUGGUUUAGUUCUUUCACACAGCAAUGUUGCUAUUUCUAUUGUUGCUUCCCGCCCUGGAAAAAACACGGCUCAAGCCGUGAGGUCUUCAUUUGCUUCUCUUGUGACCAAUUAAUCUGUAGGUUUGGGUCCAAAGUAUGCUUUCGCAACCAAGUGAUGAAAAAAAAAACAAUCUGGUUGGGGAUGUCAAUUGGUUGGUUCAUACAAGAAUAAACCUAUGACAUUCGCAACUUUUUCAAGUGAGGGAUCUGUUUUUUGGUUGCAGCUGACAGUGUCAUCACGUUGUGGGAUCCUGGUAAUAAUAUCACAUUUGUUGGUAUGAUUAAAGAGGCACUAUUUAGUGGUAUGCUACUAUCUUUGAAAUGUUGUGGAUGAAGCACUGUGAGUUGCUUGUGAGGAAGAUCAAGCACAUGGUUGCUGAGCUAUUCAAGGCAAAAGAAUAAAUAAGAUCCUAUCGUCUUCAACGUGGUGCUAUCAUCCUUGGUCAUCAGGGAAAACUCAGAAGACCAUGAACCACUCCGGCCACUCAUAGAUGAAAAGAAUACUUGUGAUAUACUGGUGUAAUAAUUGUGGAGCGAUGAUUCACAAACAAAGGAUGCUGUAGUUGCUUAAAUGCAUUUAAGUUGCGAGGACAGCAGUCCGAAGAUUUGCCUUCUAGAUGCGAUAUCAGGAUUGUGAAUCAGGUCAAAAGCACUGCACCUGCGAUGGACAGUGGUGGUGAACAGCGUGGCAUUCAUGACAAUAGAGAUAGGCAAUGGCUGAGGCAGAAAGUUAAUGCUACACGGGAGCUAGCUAGCUACUACUACUCCAGAAGAUACUGAUUCCUAGCGGGCAUGUGGAGUUGUACUACUAGUUAAUUAAUGGGGCAUGUUCAAUUAAUGUUGGUCGCUGUGUGAAGUGGAUCGGAGUAGUAGUAUUUAUAUGGGCACCCAGCAGGCAGGGGAGGGAUCAAAAUCGAGCGCACACGUACUGUACUUACUGCCAGCCACUAACAAGAGUCAGACAAUGGACUCAAAGAAGGUCGCGUAUGCUGUUUUUAUCGUCAUUCUCCUAAUGACGGAGGUAGCGGCCGCCGCUGCCGCUGGAGGCAGCGCCCGUGGGACUGGUGGUACAGGUGAUCGCGCCAACGAUGAAGAGAAAUUUAUCUUUGGCCAUCUGAGCAAAGCAAUAUUAAUUUACAUAGCCAGUCACUUCCCAGGUCACAUUAAAGAGUGCGUCAACCACGUCGAAAACCAGUGUGGCUGGGCUCCGGCGCCUGGAUGCCUGAAAGAGGCAUUAGCCACAUGCGCCAAAUAAGGCGCCCGCUGCUUCGCUUCCUCUGGCGGUCUGGCCCCUCUCCGCAUAAAUAAUUGUAAUAAGGGGUCCUAGUGAAUAUAUAUAUAUAUAUAUAUGUGGUACUCACUGCAGUGAGUAUGUAUUAUGUACUACUUAUUAUAUAGUAAUAAAAUUUGAAUAAAGUAAUAUUUGAGCCUGCA
Oryza sativa Japonica Group (Japanese rice) is the source of this 3511-nucleotide non-coding RNA. The record is from RefSeq and is a predicted model, not a curated record. Lineage: Eukaryota; Viridiplantae; Streptophyta; Magnoliopsida; Poales; Poaceae.